UUGUAAGACGCGAGGAAGGAGGGGANGANGUCAAGUCAUGANGGCNUUUAUGCCCAGGGNUACACACGUGNUACAAUGGGGGAGACAAAGGGCAGCGACCUAGCGAUAGGAAGNUAAUCCCAAAAACUCUUUCUCAGUUCAGAUUGCAGUCUGCAACUCGACUGCAUGAAGCUGGAAUCGCUAGUAAUCGUAUAUCAGCAAUGAUACGGUGAAUACGUUUCCCGGACCUUGUACACACCGCCCGUCAAGCCCAUGGAAGCCGGGUG
RNAcentral lists this ribosomal RNA (266 nucleotides) under uncultured bacterium. Its description in RNAcentral is "partial 16S rRNA". It matches the Rfam family "Bacterial small subunit ribosomal RNA", at positions 1155 to 1417 of the family's 1533-position model. The record is from RNAcentral.